This 253-nucleotide ribosomal RNA is filed under the name uncultured bacterium. RNAcentral describes it as "partial 16S ribosomal RNA". It matches the Rfam family "Bacterial small subunit ribosomal RNA", at positions 524 to 776 of the family's 1533-position model. The record is from RNAcentral.
UACGGGGGGGGCAAGCGUUGUUCGGAAUUACUGGGCGUAAAGGGCUCGUAGGUGGCCAACUAAGUCAGACGUGAAAUCCCUCGGCUUAACCGGGGAACUGCGUCUGAUACUGGAUGGCUUGAGUUCGGGAGAGGGAUGCGGAAUUCCAGGUGUAGCGGUGAAAUGCGUAGAUAUCUGGAGGAACACCGGUGGCGAAGGCGGCAGCCUGGACCGACACUGACACUGAGGAGCGAAAGCCAGGGGAGCAAACGGG